AGUGAACGCUGGCGGUAGGCCUAACACAUGCAAGUCGAACGGCAGCGCAGUAAGAGCUUGCUCUUACGGGUGGCGAGUGGCGGACGGGUGAGGAAUACAUCGGAAUCUACUUUUUCGUGGGGGAUAACGUAGGGAAACUUACGCUAAUACCGCAUACGACCUACGGGUGAAAGCAGGGGAUCUUCGGACCUUGCGCGAUUGAAUGAGCCGAUGUCGGAUUAGCUAGUUGGCGGGGUAAAGGCCCACCAAGGCGACGAUCCGUAGCUGGUCUGAGAGGAUGAUCAGCCACACUGGAACUGAGACACGGUCCAGACUCCUACGGGAGGCAGCAGUGGGGAAUAUUGACAAUGGGCGCAAGCCUGAUCCAGCCAUACCGCGUGGGUGAAGAAGGCCUUCGGGUUGUAAAGCCCUUUUGUUGGGAAAGAAAAGCAGCAGGUUAAUACCCCGCUGUUCUGACGGUACCCAAAGAAUAAGCACCGGCUAACUUCGUG
This 491-nucleotide ribosomal RNA is filed under the name uncultured bacterium. RNAcentral's name for it is "partial 16S ribosomal RNA". It matches the Rfam family "Bacterial small subunit ribosomal RNA", at positions 29 to 507 of the family's 1533-position model. The record is from RNAcentral.